GCAUGGGGGUUGGUGGAAAGGUUUUUUCUGGUGGGGGAUGGGCUCGCGGCCUAUCAGCUUGUUGGUGGGGUGAUGGCCUACCAAGGCUUUGACGGGUAGCCGGCCUGAGAGGGUGACCGGUCACAUUGGGACUGAGAUACGGCCCAGACUCCUACGGGAGGCAGCAGUGGGGAAUAUUGCACAAUGGGCGAAAGCCUGAUGCAGCGACGCCGCGUGAGGGAUGGAGGCCUUCGGGUUGUAAACCUCUUUCGCUCAUGGUCAAGCCGCAACUUAGGGUUGUGGUGAGGGUAGUGGGUAAAGAAGCGCCGGCUAACUACGUGCCAGCAGCCGCGGUAAUACGUAGGGCGCGAGCGUUGUCCGGAAUUAUUGGGCGUAAAGCGUGCGCAGGCGGUUCGGAAAGAAAGAUGUGAAAUCCCAGAGCUUAACUUUGGAACUGCAUUUUUAACUACCGGGCUAGAGUGUGUCAGAGGGAGGUGGAAUUCCGCGUGUAGCAGUGAAAUGCGUAGAUAUGCGGAGGAACACCGAUGGCGAAGGCAGCCUCCUGGGAUAACACUGACGCUCAUGCACGAAAGCGUGGGGAGCAAACAGGAUUAGAUACCCUGGUAGUCCACGCCCUAAACGAUGUCAACUAGCUGUUGGGGCCUUCGGGCCUUGGUAGCGCAGCUAACGCGUGAAGUUGACCGCCUGGGGAGUACGGUCGCAAGAUUAAAACUCAAAGGAAUUGACGGG
Molecule: ribosomal RNA, 729 nt
Filed under: uncultured bacterium
Lineage: Bacteria
Description: bacterial SSU rRNA
Rfam family: Bacterial small subunit ribosomal RNA
Source: RNAcentral